AAAGAGUGGCGAACGGGUGAGUAACACGUGGGUACCCUAAAUCUUAGCAGGGGAUAACAUUUGGAAACAAGUGCUAAUACCGUAUAAUACCAACAACCGCAUGGUUGUUGGUUGAAAGAUGGUUCUGCUAUCACUAAGAGAUGGACCCGCGGUGCAUUAGCUAGUUGGUAAGGUAACGGCUUACCAAGGCAAUGAUGCAUAGCCGAGUUGAGAGACUGAUCGGCCACAAUGGGACUGAGACACGGCCCAUACUCCUACGGGAGGCAGCAGUAGGGAAUCUUCCACAAUGGGCGCAAGCCUGAUGGAGCAACGCCGCGUGUGUGAUGAAGGGUUUCGGCUCGUAAAACACUGUUAUAAGAGAAGAACGGCACUGAGAGUAACUGUUCAGUGUGUGACGGUAUCUUACCAGAAAGGAACGGCUAAAUACGUGCCAGCAGCCGCGGUAAUACGUAUGUUCCAAGCGUUAUCCGGAUUUAUUGGGCGUAAAGCGAGCGCAGACGGUUAUUUAAGUCUGAAGUGAAAGCCCUCAGCUCAACUGAGGAAUGGCUUUGGAAACUGGAUGACUUGAGUGCAGUAGAGGAAAGUGGAACUCCAUGUGUAGCGGUGAAAUGCGUAGAUAUAUGGAAGAACACCAGUGGCGAAGGCGGCUUUCUGGACUGUAACUGACGUUGAGGCUCGAAAGUGUGGGUAGCAAACAGGAUUAGAUACCCUGGUAGUCCACACCGUAAACGAUG
This 734-nucleotide ribosomal RNA is filed under the name uncultured bacterium. Its description in RNAcentral is "bacterial SSU rRNA". It matches the Rfam family "Bacterial small subunit ribosomal RNA", at positions 90 to 811 of the family's 1533-position model. The record is from RNAcentral.